Molecule: ribosomal RNA, 938 nt
Filed under: uncultured archaeon
Lineage: Archaea
Description: bacterial SSU rRNA
Rfam family: Archaeal small subunit ribosomal RNA
Source: RNAcentral
UCGCUAGCCAUGCGAGUCAUAUGUUCUUCGUGAACAUGGCGUACUGCUCAGUAACACGUGGAUAACCUGCCCUUGGGUCCGGCAUAACCCCGGGAAACUGGGGAUAAUUCCGGAUAACGCAUAUAUGCUGGAAUGCUUUCUGCGUAAAAUGGAUUCGUCUGCCCAAGGAUGGGUCUGCGGCCUAUCAGGUAGUAGUGGGUGUAAUGUACCUACUAGCCGACGACGGGUACGGGUUGUGAGAGCAAGAGCCCGGAGAUGGAUUCUGAGACAUGAAUCCAGGCCCUACGGGGCGCAGCAGGCGCGAAAACUUUACAAUGCGGGAAACCGUGAUAAGGGGACACCGAGUGCCAGCAUCAUAUGCUGGCUGUCCGGGUGUGUAAAAUACACCCGUUAGCAAGGGCCGGGCAAGACCGGUGCCAGCCGCCGCGGUAACACCGGCGGCCCGAGUGGUGAUCGUGAUUAUUGGGUCUAAAGGGUCCGUAGCCGGUUUGGUCAGUCCUCCGGGAAAUCUGAUAGCUCAACUAUUAGGCUUUCGGGGGAUACUGCCAGGCUUGGAACCGGGAGAGGUAAGAGGUACUACAGGGGUAGGAGUGAAAUCUUGUAAUCCCUGUGGGACCACCUGUGGCGAAGGCGUCUUACCAGAACGGGUUCGACGGUGAGGGACGAAAGCUGGGGGCACGAACCGGAUUAGAUACCCGGGUAGUCCCAGCCGUAAACGAUGCCCGCUAGGUGUCAGGCAUGGCGCGACCGUGUCUGGUGCCGCAGGGAAGCCGUGAAGCGAGCCACCUGGGAAGUACGGCCGCAAGGCCGAAACUUAAAGGAAUUGGCGGGGGAGCACAACAACGGGUGGAGCCUGCGGUUUAAUUGGACUCAGCGCCGGACAACUCACCGGGGGGCGACAGCAAUAUGUAGGCCAAGCUGAAGACUUUGCCUGAAUC